This 480-nucleotide ribosomal RNA is filed under the name uncultured bacterium Seq1(Z0). RNAcentral describes it as "bacterial SSU rRNA". It matches the Rfam family "Bacterial small subunit ribosomal RNA", at positions 381 to 876 of the family's 1533-position model. Lineage: Bacteria; Bacillati; Chloroflexota. The record is from RNAcentral.
CCUUGACGCAGCAACGCCGCGUGGGGGAUGAAGGUCUUCGGAUUGUAAACCCCUUUUCUGAGGGAAGAGCAAGGACGGUACCUCAGGAACAAGUCUCGGCUAACUACGUGCCAGCAGCCGCGGUAAAACGUAGGAGGCAAGCGUUAUCCGGAUUUACUGGGCGUAAAGGGCGUCUAGGCGGCUCCGUAAGUCGAGCGUGAAAGCUCCUGGCUCAACUGGGAGAGGUCGUUCGAUACUGCGGAGCUUGAGGGCAGCAGAGGGAGGUGGAAUUCCCGGUGUAGCGGUGGAAUGCGCAGAUAUCGGGAGGAACACCAGUGGCGAAGGCGGCCUCCUGGGCUGUCCCUGACGCUGAAGCGCGAAAGCGUGGGGAGCGAACGGGAUUAGAUACCCCGGUAGUCCACGCUGUAAACGAUGGGUACUAGGUGUGGGUGGUAUUGACCCCAUCCGUGCCGUAGCUAACGCGUUAAGUACCCCGCCUGG